AGGUGAAUACUGACGGCUUCGCUUCUGGCGCUCCUAACGCAAUUGCAGCAGGUGCAUUUUUUCGGGAUAAGUAUGUUAGGGGCCGUUUUCAUAGUAAAGGUGGUACAGGUUUCGCUUUUGAAGCUGAACUUCUUGCGGUCAUUACUGCUAUCUCCAUUGCUCAUUCUAGAGGUUGGUUUCAUUUGUGGGUGGAAGCUGAUUCCAUGUACGUCAUCUUUUUGCUUGAAAUUAGGAAUUGUGACGUUCUGUGGUGCUUUAUGUCGCUCUGGAAACAUACGCUCCAGUUGCUUAAUGGGUUUCAACUUCGUACUUCUCAUAUUUACCGCGAGGGCAACGCGGCGGCAGACAUCAUGACGAACAGCGAUUGGGAGUUAGGUUGGUGGCCUUUCGCUGUGGAUCCUAUAAAGCAAGUCGUGGCUAGAGACAUGUCCUGCCACAGUUUUGUUCACAUCAAAUGAUUGCUUGGUUUUUCCCGUCUUGCUCGCUGAAGUCAGGGGUUUGUUGGCCCGAGCUGAUCUGGUCUGGGGUUGCUGGGCUGGGCUUUUCUUCGAAUUGGUGGCUUAUAUGUUUUUUUCUUACAGAGGCCUUUUCCCGAACAGCUGGAGUGGUUGCUGGGCUCUGGAGAGGCUCUUCUCCGAACAGCUGGUUCGCUGGUGGCUUCUCUAUGUUCUUGGGCUCUAAAAGGUGUCUCUUCUGGUUGGUGGGACGUUGAUUUGCUCAGGCUGCUUGGCCUUUGGUUGUGGCAUGUUUUCAUAUCCAGCUCUUUUUAUAGUAAAGGUUGGGUUCAUGGCAGUUGUGGUUGGAGCGUUCCCGGGUUCUUUUACAGCUCUUGGGUGCGCUCAUAGCUGGGAAUCUAAGAAGUCGGGCUCUGUUGGUGGCUCCGCGGUUGGAUUUCGGUCCUGCCGGCGUUGAGCUUUCAUUUUGCUUCCAGUGGUUUUCUUUGGAACUCGUUCUUUUGGUUUUUCUAUUUUUGUGCGUUCCAUGUUUUGGCGUGGGAUAGCCCGGGCGACUUGGGGGCAAUGGUUCGGCCGGAGCUUUCGAAGUCGCCUUCCCGCUCUCCCCGUCUUUGCUGUUUCUUUCGAUUGAAUUUUCGAAGAGCAUUUUUUUCCCUAUCUAGGGGUUUUCCCUAGGUAGGUUUUAACGAGUCUUGACCCUUAGUAUGCUCCUUUGUGGGUUCUAGGUUUUUUCUUUUCCUUUUAUAAUAUGGCUGCUAUUUCAUUUAAUUCUA
Long non-coding RNA from Salvia miltiorrhiza (redroot sage), 1228 nucleotides. RefSeq lists it as uncharacterized. The transcript has 2 exons. The record is from RefSeq and is a predicted model, not a curated record. NCBI's taxonomy places the organism in Eukaryota, Viridiplantae, Streptophyta, Magnoliopsida, Lamiales, Lamiaceae.